GUCAAUGGAUAGGAUCUCUUUCUUUGUUAAAAUGAAUAAAUGAGUUUUUAUUUAUUUAGUUGACAUAACACUGAUUUAUAAGAUUGCCUAAGUUGUGUCAGUACUUGGUGUUUGCUAAUCGGCUUUUUGUCUUUUUUGGAAUUUGAAUUGCCUUACACUUUGUUCAGUUCCUGGCAAAGAGGGAAUGGUGCAUGGAUGAUCGUGUAAUGCCUGAGCCUUGAGUACAAAAUAAAGACUGGUCUUCAGGGCACCCAUGCCUAUCCCUAGGAUGUUAGAGUAAAUUUGAUCAGUCUACUCAGGUAAGACAGCUUAUCCAGGUGUGAGUAAACACCGCUUUCCUUUCCCUGAGCUGGAAUCAAGAGCAAGAAUCAUGCAGGAUUGUUGCAUCAGAUGCUGUGUUCCUGCUCUAGGGAUGAGCUCUGUCCCUCCCCCUCAGCUUGCUUCCUGAGAGGACCCAGUGGAGCAGAAGCACUUUCUGGGCCACAGCUCCCCCAGAGCUGGGUCCUGUUGGCUGGUGUCAGUGUUGCUGUUCAGACCCCAUGGCCUCCCAACUUUGAAAUCCCAUCAGGUAAGUAUCCAAUGAUCUGUCUUAACCACAGUGACUCACUGAGUCUUUAGAUACCCAGUGGCUGGUACCUGUUUCCCUCA
RNAcentral lists this long non-coding RNA (648 nucleotides) under Bos taurus (domestic cattle). RNAcentral's name for it is "long non-coding RNA NONBTAT009320". Lineage: Eukaryota; Metazoa; Chordata; Mammalia; Artiodactyla; Bovidae. The record is from RNAcentral.